This 388-nucleotide ribosomal RNA is filed under the name uncultured bacterium. Its description in RNAcentral is "bacterial SSU rRNA". It matches the Rfam family "Bacterial small subunit ribosomal RNA", at positions 29 to 416 of the family's 1533-position model. The record is from RNAcentral.
AUUGAACGCUGGCGGCAUGCCUUACACAUGCAAGUCGAACGGCAGCACGGGAGCAAUCCUGGUGGCGAGUGGCGAACGGGUGAGUAAUAUAUCGGAACGUGCCCAGUCGUGGGGGAUAACGUAGCGAAAGCUACGCUAAUACCGCAUACGAUCUAUGGAUGAAAGCGGGGGAUCGCAAGACCUCGCGCGAUUGGAGCGGCCGAUAUCAGAUUAGGUAGUUGGUGAGGUAAAGGCUCACCAAGCCGACGAUCUGUAGCUGGUCUGAGAGGACGACCAGCCACACUGGGACUGAGACACGGCCCAGACUCCUACGGGAGGCAGCAGUGGGGGAAUUUUGGACAAUGGGCGCAAGCCUGAUCCAGCAAUGCCGCCGUGCAGGAUGAAGGCC